AUAGAAAUAUUGCUGAAUUUCCGUUUCUGUUCUCUAACUUUAGUUUGUCUUUACCAGAUGUUAUUAAAAUUAUACACAAUGCUUAAAACCACCAAAUGCAGAUCAACUUUGAAUUUUGGUGGUGUAACUUUCACUGUUCUAUGCAAUGCCUCUUUAUAGAGGGAAAAAGUUGCUGAAUUUUUUUGUUUUGUAUUUCUUUCUUUA
Molecule: long non-coding RNA, 204 nt
Filed under: Mytilus galloprovincialis (Mediterranean mussel)
Lineage: Eukaryota; Metazoa; Mollusca; Bivalvia; Mytilida; Mytilidae
Source: RNAcentral